This 87-nucleotide transfer RNA is filed under the name Clostridiales bacterium. RNAcentral describes it as "tRNA-Leu". It matches the Rfam family "tRNA". Rfam says of the family: Transfer RNA (tRNA) molecules are approximately 80 nucleotides in length. Their secondary structure includes four short double-helical elements and three loops (D, anti-codon, and T loops). Lineage: Bacteria; Bacillati; Bacillota; Clostridia; Eubacteriales. The record is from RNAcentral.
GCCGAAGUGGCGGAACAGGCAGACGCAAGGGACUUAAAAUCCCUCGGUGGCAACACCGUAUCGGUUCAAAUCCGAUCUCCGGCACCA